Non-coding RNA from Parelaphostrongylus tenuis, 71 nucleotides. The record is from the annotation of a GenBank genome assembly. NCBI's taxonomy places the organism in Eukaryota, Metazoa, Nematoda, Chromadorea, Rhabditida, Metastrongylidae.
GCCCUGGUGGUGCAGUGGUAGCACACGCUCACGGCACGAGUGAAAUGCGGGUUCAACUCGCGCCUGGGGUU